This 76-nucleotide transfer RNA is filed under the name Frankia umida. RNAcentral's name for it is "tRNA-Thr". It matches the Rfam family "tRNA". From Rfam's summary of the family: Transfer RNA (tRNA) molecules are approximately 80 nucleotides in length. Their secondary structure includes four short double-helical elements and three loops (D, anti-codon, and T loops). Lineage: Bacteria; Bacillati; Actinomycetota; Actinomycetes; Frankiales; Frankiaceae. The record is from RNAcentral. RNAcentral also lists the same sequence under 3 other names.
GCCGGUGUGGCGCAAUUGGCAGCGCUCUCGACUUGUAAUCGAGGGGUUAGGGGUUCGAGUCCCCUCGCCGGCUCCA